AGCUCGUUAGCUCAAUUGGUAGAGCGCCCAGCAUACACAACUCCCUGUUAGCUGGUGUCCGGUCUGACCAACCGUGACUGUCAGUCGUUGGCGGAGGGCGGAACUUUGACAGUGGGCCGGGGGGAGCCUGACACUGGGUGGUUCCAAGUUCGAACCUUGGACGAGCCA
Non-coding RNA from Clohesyomyces aquaticus, 168 nucleotides. The record is from the annotation of a GenBank genome assembly. NCBI's taxonomy places the organism in Eukaryota, Fungi, Ascomycota, Dothideomycetes, Pleosporales, Lindgomycetaceae.